This 460-nucleotide ribosomal RNA is filed under the name uncultured bacterium. RNAcentral describes it as "partial 16S ribosomal RNA". It matches the Rfam family "Bacterial small subunit ribosomal RNA", at positions 338 to 795 of the family's 1533-position model. The record is from RNAcentral.
CCUACGGGAGGCUGCAGUGAGGAAUAUUGGUCAAUGGCCGGAAGGCUGAACCAGCCAUGCCGCGUGAAGGUCAGUGCCCUAUGGGCGUUAAACUUCUUUUGUGCGGGAGCAAUAAUGGUCACGUGUGGCCAGACUAGCGUACCGUACGAAUAAGCAUCGGCUAACUCCGUGCCAGCAGCCGCGGUAAUACGGGGGAUGCAAGCGUUAUCCGGAUUUAUUGGGUUUAAAGGGUGCGUAGGCUUUGAGGUAAGUCAGCGGUGAAAUGCCCCCGCUCAACGGGGUGAAGUGCCAUUGAUACUGCCGCGCUGGAAUGCGGAUGCCGUGGGAGGAAUGUGUGGUGUAGCGGUGAAAUGCAUAGAUAUCACACAGAACACCGAUUGCGAAGGCAUCUCACGAAGCCGCGAUUGACGCUGAUGCACGAAAGCGUGGGUAUCAAACAGGAUUAGAUACCCGAGUAGUC